CGGUUAAAAAGCUCGUAGUUGGAUUUCGGAGUUGUUAUCUGAACCUUCUCGCCAUAAAAAAGUGGGGGGGGCUAAGGUAGCAGUAGUUUUCAUCAUAGUCCACCAGGAUACUCUCUUGGUGUGUACUGGGUGUUAACCUCCUUUUUUUCUGGUACUUGCUAUCCAGCAAUGGGUAGUUUUGUCCAGAUAGUUUACUUUGAAAAAAUUAGAGUGUUCAAAGCAGGCAUAAUUGGCAUCAUGAAUACAUUAGCAUGGGAUAAUAGAAUAUGACAUUGGUCUUAUUUUGUUGGUUUCUAAGGCCAAAGUAAUGAUUGAUAGGGAUAGUUGGGGCCGCUCGUAUUGAGUUGUCAGAGGUGAAAUUCUAGGAUUUACUCAAGACGAACUAAUGCGAAAGCAUUCGGCAAGGAUGUUUUCAUUAAUCAAGAACGAAAGUUGGG
This 437-nucleotide ribosomal RNA is filed under the name uncultured eukaryote. RNAcentral describes it as "partial 18S ribosomal RNA". It matches the Rfam family "Eukaryotic small subunit ribosomal RNA", at positions 616 to 994 of the family's 1831-position model. The record is from RNAcentral.